Molecule: ribosomal RNA, 227 nt
Filed under: Triticum aestivum (bread wheat)
Lineage: Eukaryota; Viridiplantae; Streptophyta; Magnoliopsida; Poales; Poaceae
Description: partial small subunit ribosomal RNA
Rfam family: Bacterial small subunit ribosomal RNA
Source: RNAcentral
GGCGAACGGGUGAGUAACGCGUAAGAACCUGCCCUUGGGAGGGGAACAACAACUGGAAACGGUUGCUAAUACCCCGUAGGCUGAGGAGCAAAAGGAGAAAUCCGCCCAAGGAGGGGCUCGCGUCUGAUUAGCUAGUUGGUGAGGUAAUAGCUUACCAAGGCGAUGAUCAGUAGCUGGUCCGAGAGGAUGAUCAGCCACACUGGGACUGAGACACGGCCCAGACUCCC